RNAcentral lists this long non-coding RNA (442 nucleotides) under Oncorhynchus kisutch (coho salmon). Its description in RNAcentral is "lncRNA (ENSOKIG00005043343.1)". The record is from RNAcentral. Lineage: Eukaryota; Metazoa; Chordata; Actinopteri; Salmoniformes; Salmonidae.
GAACGCGAGUUGGCCGUUGGAACACGAGUUGGCCGUUGGAACACGAGUUGGCCACUAGUUCAUGGCUGUUCUUUCUACCCUUUUCAGAUAUUUUCAAUGGACAAACAGCUAAACUCUCCAGCUACACGGUUGUAAAGCCUCAGCUUAUUCACAGGAGAUGGGCAAGAAAUGCCGACAGACGUCCUGACUGGGGAAAGACUGAAGAACCCGAGGAACGUUCUUAUUCAUUGAUCAUUGACAACAAGGAACAUUUCCUACAUCUACAAAAGAACACAGAGUUUUUAUCCAAAAGCUUUGUUCAGUUUUCCCAUGAUGCCGGUGGGAAUCUGACGCCUACAUAUCCUAAACCUGAUGUAAGUGGCAGAGACUACAUUACAGAAUGACAUUGUGUGGAUUGGAAAGGGGAGACUUGGGUGGGAGGGGGACUGACGAGCUGGGUGGG